UGAGGAAUAUUGGUCAAUGGACGGAAGUCUGAACCAGCCAAGUCGCGUGAAGGAUGAAGGUUAUAUGGAUUGUAAACUUCUGUUGUCUGAGGGUAAAAAAGCGGACGUGUCCGUUCUUGCAAGUAUCAGACGAAUAAGCAUCGGCUAACUCCGUGCCAGCAGCCGCGGUAAUACGGAGGAUGCGAGCGUUAUCCGGAUUUAUUGGGUUUAAAGGGUGCGUAGGCGGGUUGGUAAGUCAGUGGUGAAAUCGUGUGGCUCAACCAUACGGAGCCAUUGAAACUGGCGACCUUGAGUGCAAACGAGGUAGGCGGAAUGUAACGUGUAGCGGUGAAAUGCUUAGAUAUGUUACAGAACCCCGAUUGCGAAGGCAGCUUACCAGCAUGCAACUGACGCUGAUGCACGAAAGCGUGGGUAUCAAACAGG
Molecule: ribosomal RNA, 423 nt
Filed under: uncultured prokaryote
Also listed under: 1 other name
Description: bacterial SSU rRNA
Rfam family: Bacterial small subunit ribosomal RNA
Source: RNAcentral